Molecule: ribosomal RNA, 578 nt
Filed under: Kocuria sp.
Lineage: Bacteria; Bacillati; Actinomycetota; Actinomycetes; Micrococcales; Micrococcaceae
Description: bacterial SSU rRNA
Rfam family: Bacterial small subunit ribosomal RNA
Source: RNAcentral
CGCCGCGUGAGGGAUGACGGCCUUCGGGUUGUAAACCUCUUUCAGCAGGGAAGAAGCCACAAGUGACGGUACCUGCAGAAGAAGCGCCGGCUAACUACGUGCCAGCAGCCGCGGUAAUACGUAGGGCGCAAGCGUUGUCCGGAAUUAUUGGGCGUAAAGAGCUYGUAGGCGGUUUGUCGCGUCUGCUGUGAAAGCCCGGGGCUCAACCCCGGGUCUGCAGUGGGUACGGGCAGACUAGAGUGCAGUAGGGGAGACUGGAAUUCCUGGUGUAGCGGUGAAAUGCGCAGAUAUCAGGAGGAACACCGAUGGCGAAGGCAGGUCUCUGGGCUGUUACUGACGCUGAGGAGCGAAAGCAUGGGGAGCGAACAGGAUUAGAUACCCUGGUAGUCCAUGCCGUAAACGUUGGGCACUAGGUGUGGGGGACAUUCCACGUUCUCCGCGCCGUAGCUAACGCAUUAAGUGCCCCGCCUGGGGAGUACGGCCGCAAGGCUAAAACUCAAAGGAAUUGACGGGGGCCCGCACAAGCGGCGGAGCAUGCGGAUUAAUUCGAUGCAACGCGAAGAACCUUACCAAGGCUU